This 476-nucleotide ribosomal RNA is filed under the name uncultured bacterium. Its description in RNAcentral is "bacterial SSU rRNA". It matches the Rfam family "Bacterial small subunit ribosomal RNA", at positions 33 to 518 of the family's 1533-position model. The record is from RNAcentral.
CGAGACGACGCUGGCGGCGUGCCUAACACAUGCAAGUCGAGCGAGGAGAUUCCUUCGGGAUGAUCCUAGCGGCGGACGGGUGAGUAACACGUGGGCAACCUGCCUCAUAGAGAGGAAUAGCCUUCCGAAAGGGAGAUUAAUACCUCAUAACAUUGCAGUUUCGCAUGGAACAGCAAUUAAAGGAGCAAUCCGCUAUGAGAUGGGCCCGCGGCGCAUUAGCUAGUUGGUGAGGUAACGGCUCACCAAGGCGACGAUGCGUAGCCGACCUGAGAGGGUGAUCGGCCACAUUGGGACUGAGACACGGCCCAGACUCCUACGGGAGGCAGCAGUGGGGAAUAUUGCACAAUGGGGGAAACCCUGAUGCAGCCAACGCCGCGUGAGUGAUGACGGCCUUCGGGUUGUAAAGCUCUGUCUUCAGGGACGAUAAUGACGGUACCUGAGGAGGAAGCCACGGCUAACUACGUGCCAGCAGCUGC